CACGCUCUCUGUGCAUCUCGUGGGUACGCAACCGGCUGGGAUGCCACCGGGGCACAACCCUGUAUUCAGGCUGAUAGCACCCGGAGGCAGGGCUUCUACCCAGCAAACCUGUUAGAGGAGAGCAAUCGGGGAGCCUGGGCAGCUGUGACCGGUGUCUGCGUGCCCCUCAGCUGCCUGAGGCUACUCACUUCCUUGCUUGCAUGUGGGUAGCCACAGUGGCAAGUUCCAACAGUUUCUUCAGUCGAGGCCCCCACCCCCACCCCCUUUGCAGUUUGAGUCACCUUCAAUUUCCUGCCUGCCAGCCUAGUCCCUGAUUGGCCUGAUAAAUCCAGGACCGCUUUGAUUGCUUUUGGCAAAAACAUUGCCGGUAAGAUUUACGGAGCCAAAAGCUGGGACAAUGUAAUCUUCAGAGUAACUUACACAGUGAGUUUCAAA
RNAcentral lists this long non-coding RNA (435 nucleotides) under Mus pahari (shrew mouse). RNAcentral describes it as "lncRNA (MGP_PahariEiJ_G0004983.1)". Lineage: Eukaryota; Metazoa; Chordata; Mammalia; Rodentia; Muridae. The record is from RNAcentral.